UACUUUUCUCAAGUUAUAUUUUUUGAAAUUCAUGAAGGCCUCGCACUCAUUCAUUGUUAAACAGAUACAGUGUUCUGGAAGAGACUUGUCUGGGGGGUUUUUUCCUACUUUUCUUGCUUAGUUUUUUCUUUUGGAAAAAAUCCUCUCUACAGCCACAUUUAGAAGGCAACGUGCUUUUCAAAAUCACAUCACAUCCUUGUUUUCACAGAAGAAAGCCAGUGAGUCUUGUGAGCUCUAUCUGCUUGGGAAUCGGGGAACAAGUCAUGACUGUCUCAUGAGAAGGAUAGAUAUGAUAACUGUGGCUUUUGGGUGAGAACAUGGUUUCUGCCUGACAUUCUGAAGGACAGGUUGGACUAGUCUUGCCUCAAGCAAAGGCAAACCCAUCCAUGGGAUUGUUUUUGCUCAAGGACCUGAGUGCACUCGAUGGGUAAUGUAGAGGGAUGGGGAUUGAUGAACUCAACCCACAUCCUGAGGGAUGGUCAGUGACUACUGAAAGAACACCUGUGCUUGUGUAUAUCUGUAUAUAUAUCUAUAAAUACAUAGCUUUCGCUAGCCACCACCUGGGACUACUGCUGCUCUUGCUAGCUACCACUGUGCCAGAAUCUGUGCCAGCAUCUCAGCAGAAUAAAUCCUUUUGAUGAAAUAGCCUUCCAGGUUUUGCAUUUCCCCUAUUUCCCAUUGGUUUUAUCUGGCCAAAGAGAGCAUUAAACCACGCAAACUUGUUUGACAAAGUACUUCUUUUGUUCUCUUGGGCCAUGUGGCACAAAGCAUGGGAACAGCAGCCUUUUUCUAACCCUAGGGGUGGGGGGACAGGUAACAUUUUGUUUUUGUUGCUUUUGUGAUUUUUUUUGCCUUUUUUGAUUCCUCUGUAUUAUUGUGUUACUUGAUAUUUUUUACCUCAGUAAAAUUAUGACUUUAACAUUUUUAAUCUCUUGCAGUCUUUGUUUUCCCCUCCACUGAAAUGAGGGGGUGGUUUGAGCAGUCUUAACUUUUCUUCCUGAUGAAUUUUUAAAACAGUACAACUUCUUCACAGUACUUUUUUCCUCCCAUGAAAGAAGUUGAAUAUCCAGCCAGGGGGCAGACAUGAAGUUGAGCCCUACGUUUCAAGAUACCUCUGAGCAGUCCCUGGAAAAAAGACGGAAGUGCAGUCAAAAUCAAAAGCAAACAAUAGAACUAGAUGAUCUUUAAGAUUCCAUCUAACACAGACCAUUUAUUAAUCUAUAUGAAUGGACUUAUUUAUCAAAUAUUGGUUAUUUAUAAGAGUAAUUGGAGAAACAAAGAUUUUUUGCAAAUGAUAGAAAAGCUUGCAGGAUACUUCAUCCAGAACUGGUCAUAUCUGUCGUGCUAAAGACACAGCCCUAAUUCCUUAUAUUUAACAGGACACACUUCAUAGGCUCCUUUCUUAUAAAAAUAGAUAAUAGAAACCAUAAACAUCAGAGGCAAAUUUCUUGUAGUGCCACAGCUUUUCAGACACCCUAGUUUGGCUGUUAGUACUGUCAAUGCUGAAAAUCCCACCAGACUUCAAGAGACAUCAGAUGAUUCAGGACUGAGUACUUUCCAAUUUAAACCUCAGUAUGGAAACACUGUAUAUGUGUGUGUGCGCACAUACAGCUUUUAAAGGCCGUGUUUAUAAAAUCUUAAUUGGUACUUAUCAAUGCAGUAAACAUAUGGCAUGAUGAUGUUUGAGAUAACUUUGUCAAUAAUAAACAAAGUUACUUUAAGGAUUAA
Long non-coding RNA from Pseudopipra pipra, 1728 nucleotides. RefSeq lists it as uncharacterized. NCBI's taxonomy places the organism in Eukaryota, Metazoa, Chordata, Aves, Passeriformes, Pipridae. The transcript has 2 exons. The record is from RefSeq and is a predicted model, not a curated record.